AAUAAUACUUCUAGAACAAUACAACUCCCUUUGCCCAAGAUGUCUGUCACACUCACCAAAUUCAGGCUAAGAGUCACUUAUGAAAAUCAGUUGGAUUGCUUUAAAGUCAUUCCUCAUUUUUCACCUAAAAAUACCUUAUCCAAAUUGGCUCACCCACCUUGUGCCCCAGACUCGGCUGUGAAUGACUCAGCUGUUUCUAGAAUUCAAAUCAACCCUCCAAGACUGAAGUGUGUUUUGUUUUGUUUAUUUGUUAAUGGGAAUAUAUGCAAAACAAUUUGCCACAAGGUUUGAAAGCAGUUCAAACGUUAGUGACACAGAAGUUUGCAUCUCGGCUCUCAAGGUGACUCCUUUCUGGGACCUUUGCAUUCUGAAGGUUGAGAAGAAUCUGGUGCCUGCCGUGUUCUCCUGGUCUGCAGCAGGAGGCCCCGGCCAUCUGCACAAAGUGAGCCACACACUCAGGCCUGCAUGCCCAUGGGAGAAAAAUGUACAGGAUGAAUCAGUGCCUGAAGCAGCCUCAUAGAAUUCCCAAAGGAAAACAGAAAGAAGUGAGCAUUCUCCUGGGCAGGCUGGGUCCUCAAAGAUGCUGAGGUAAGAAGUGAGCUAAACUGCUUAACCACCAGCAAUGAGGCUCCACGCCAGGCCCAUCUGGUGUCCAGAGCUGCCGGCGAAUGGGGCCAAUGACAGUGAGGUCAGUGAUGGUACUGUCUUCUGGAAAGGCCACGUGGGGAGGCUUGGCAAUGGCCAGCCCCCUGGGCGCAGAUGGUGUGGAGGGCCGGGUAGCAGAUGCCGGGCCGAGCAGGUGGGAUUGUGGAGGGGCAGCAGUCAUUACUUGUUGCUUGCUCUCUCGGCUCUCUUCCCUCCGGUUUGUAGACUCAGGGUACUAAGCAGACAUACGCUUUGCAUGGCUGGUGUUCACCAUCACAGCCGCUGCAGGCUGGGAGAUCUCCAUUAGAAAGGUUUUAAUGAGCUCCUCCUAACUGCCAGUGCCUUCCAUCUAGUGAUUCAUUCACUCUCAUCCCACAAACGUUUAUUAAGUACCCGCUAUGUGCCAACGAAGGCGCAAGGAUGCUUAACCAUUUGGGAGCCAAAAGUGAUGAUAAUAUAAAUCUCUUUCUUUGGCCAAACCAGAGAGCAGUGGCGAUUCGGAUUCUUUAUGGGAAAACCCUCACAUCCCCGUCUUUAAUGAAGGCAGAUGGCACACAACAGAUCUGCAGCACAAUAGGUGCUUGUCAUCAGAAGCAUUUUCAUCAAAGUAUUUUCAAGGUCUUUUUUUUUUUUUUUUUUUUUUUUGAGACGGAGUUUCGCUCUGUCGCCCAGGCUGGAGUGCAGUGGCGCGAUCUCGACUCACUGCAAGCUCCGCCUCCCGGGUUCACGCCAUUCUCCUGCCUCAGCCUCCCGUGUAGCUGGGACUACAGGCGCGUGCCACCAUGCCCGGCUAAUUUUUGUAUUUUUAGUAGAGACGGGGUUUCACCGUGUUAGCCAGGAUGGUCUCGAUCUCCUGAUCUCGUGAUCCGCCCGUCUCGGCCUCCCAAAGUGCUGGGAUUACAGGCGUGAGCCACCGCACCCGGCCUUUCAAGGUCUUUAAAACUACUAAACAGCUCCCCAGGGCAUGGCCGUUUCAGGCGUCUGGAUAACAUGUGUUUGGUGUCUAAGGCAGUCGGCCGUCAGCAAAUGCUGAAGGAAACCUGGCGAUGUGAAAAUUGUCAUUAUUUGGUCACCCGAAAAAGUGAAGCUGAGGGCUGGAGGGCAAGGGAAAAGUUAAACCAGGAGUGAAAUCACAUUUCCAUGUGCACUCACACAGGGAGAAUGAGAUUCCACCUCCCUCUUGAUGCACCAGCCCAGCCCUGCAGGUUGAGUAGGAGGUGGUGUGAGAGGGCCCCCCCAGCACAGGCAGAACACCUGGAAGAAGACUUGACUCUGUUUCCUUUUGUGCCCUUCCCACGUCUCCCACCCUGCUGCCCGCUGCCCUGGCUAAUGUGGGCUUGGAUCAUGAAAUGAUUUGGCUCUGUGUCCCCACCCAAAUCUGAAUUAUCACUCCCAUAAUCCCAGUGGGAGGUAAUCAAAUCAUGGGGACGGGUCUUUCCCCUGCUGUUCUCGAGAUAGUGAAUAAGUCUCAGGAGAUCUGAUGAUUUUAUGAAGGGUAGUUCCCCGCACAAGCUCUCUUGCCUGCCACCAUGUAAAAUGUGCCUUUGCUCCUCCUUCACCUUCCACCAUGAUUGGGAGGCCUCCCCCACCAUGUGGAACUGUGAGUGCAUUAAACUCUUUUUCUUUAUAAAUUACCCAGUCUUGAGUAUUUCUUCACAGGAGUGUGAAAAUGGACUAAUACAGAUCAUGAUCCCUGCCACAACCUUGCUUGAGUGUGGCCUACUGGGCCCUUCAUUGUCUAAAUCUGGCUCACAUCUGAGUUUUG
RNAcentral lists this long non-coding RNA (2410 nucleotides) under Homo sapiens (human). RNAcentral's name for it is "HSALNT0325209". Lineage: Eukaryota; Metazoa; Chordata; Mammalia; Primates; Hominidae. The record is from RNAcentral.